GUAACCGGGUGGUUAGGGGUGUCGGCGGUCGGGCGUGGAGAGGGAGGAGGCCAGGAGGGAAAGAGUCGGCGGUGGGGGUGCUUGGGAUCAGCGCGGGAGGACGUAGACAGGUGGAGGGGGAAGGACUAGGCGGGGUUCGGGGAGGAGCAGAGGAACAGUGUGGGUGGAGUAGUGGUCGCUGCCGGCGCGGAUUUGCGUACUCGAUCGGUUCCUUUUCGCCCCACCGCGCUGCGGGACCAGUAGCCGGCCGGUCCUCGGACGCAUCUCCGCCACCGCCUCUGCUGGGAUCUACCCGGUUCUAGACCUGUCCCGCGGAGUUGGAGCGGAAGGAGAAGGUGGAUGAGUGACUAUCUCUCUGUCGUCGUCGCCACCCUCCUCGGACCCGUAUCUCCUCUCUUCACCUGCUCCCCCCACGUUUCGGUCCUCUACACCCAGCGGCCUACUCGUGUAGGUGUAUCCCGAACUAGGGCGGCGACGGUCUCGUCUCACCUCGUGGUGUGCCCCGGGCUACCCCACCGGCCCUCGCGCACUGUAGGCCGAGGGUUCGUCGAGGGUUCGUCCCUUACGUCGCCACGACCGGAGAGGAGAGGCGCGCGGAAACAGGACGCAGCAGUGAUGGCGGUACCGGAACGAGCGGUAACUGGAGGGGUUCACGAAGAGAGGUGUUUACCACGGCAGUACAGGUAUAGUUUAGUUCGCGGUCCUUUCAUGUUGUGCACGUGUAUUGAACAAACUCCUUUAAGGUAGACCUUCGUUAUAAACUAGUACUGAACACAAGAACUACGAAGUAGACGCCGAUCGAUUGAUGUUGUUGUGUAUACAUUUCCCUUUGGUAGCAUUCUUUGUGUCCUUCUGUAACGUAACAACUUCCUCAGGUAACCCCUGACCUCAGCUACCGGAUGCUGUACCCAUCUGUGCACACGAAGUACUAAUAACAACUAAUUGAGUCUCAUAUACUUACGAAACUUCCUUACUAUACGUAUUAAGUCUGAUUUAGAACGACCACUAUCACUCCUCAAAUAAACCGACAUCGUGAAACUAAGAAAGAGUGACAGUUUCAAACAAGUCAUGAAGAGAGUAUAAAAAAACAAACAAGGUCACACGAUACACGUAGAACGAUCACCGCCCUCACCGUCGGUUCUACUACCCGCGCCCUCGUCGCGUGCACACUCGUUACUGUUCACACAGACGACGGUUGGACACUUCCAACCGAGACGGUUUGGGACGAGAAGGAGAGGCUCCGAGUGUAACGCGCUACCGGUAAUGGUAGAUGCUGAAGUGUUAUCACCACUAUACAGGUAUAAGUACCUUAAAACCCACUAACAUUCCACAACACAACGGUAAUUUAAUCUAACUAAAUAAUUUUGACUUCCUGCCAGCUAAACGACUAGUACGUGACCAUCUUUUUAAAGUUUUUGACAUUGUAUGAAACAUACCAUAAUCUAAAUGAAGAAGUCCUACAAAAACACGGGAAGUACCCACUUAGACAUUGACUACCUUGGGAAAGGUUAAAGAAUUACGAUGACAUGUUUACAUCAGCUCAGUUCGAAAUCCACAAAGUCUUACUUGUGUGUUCAACGAAAGAAUCUAAGUAAAGUUGGUUUUCUUACCCAUUAUACAAAAAGACUUUUGUACCUAUAUGAAGCAUAUUAACCUAGACAUCAAUAACUGUAUCAUAAAUAA
This 1683-nucleotide ribosomal RNA is filed under the name Triticum aestivum (bread wheat). RNAcentral describes it as "partial small subunit ribosomal RNA". The record is from RNAcentral. Lineage: Eukaryota; Viridiplantae; Streptophyta; Magnoliopsida; Poales; Poaceae.